This is a long non-coding RNA of Micropterus salmoides (largemouth bass), 418 nucleotides long. RefSeq lists it as uncharacterized. The transcript is spliced from 3 exons. NCBI's taxonomy places the organism in Eukaryota, Metazoa, Chordata, Actinopteri, Centrarchiformes, Centrarchidae. The record is from RefSeq and is a predicted model, not a curated record.
UGCUGACUCCACUAAAGUCUAGCAAAAACCUGCCAAAUUUGACGUUUGCUGAUAUUUACAUUUACCUCGUCCACAAUCCAUCUCCAUACACCGGGGAAGCCCUCAAGGCGUUUAAAAGCACCGGAGCCUACCGCUACUUCACCUCAGGAUGGGUUAAUGAUCCCAAAAUUCAUCAUCUGGAGAUGAAGAAAAUGUUCUUGAUCACAGGAAGGGUACACGCCAAAGGUGAUGCAGCUGGACUUGCCCACUCCUUUGUCAACCUUACAUUCAAGCACCUGGCUAGAGGUAGACCUGCCCACACUACUGGUUGAGACUUCCAAGGUCUUUGAUAACCUACAUCUGACACAGCAACAGGUUCAUGCAUCAGGGUUCAUCAUCCACCCAGACCUCCCCUGGAUUGGAGCAUCACCUGACGGCA